This 816-nucleotide ribosomal RNA is filed under the name Triticum aestivum (bread wheat). Its description in RNAcentral is "partial small subunit ribosomal RNA". The record is from RNAcentral. Lineage: Eukaryota; Viridiplantae; Streptophyta; Magnoliopsida; Poales; Poaceae.
AUGAUGCCGCCGGCGCUGCUAAGCUUACCGCGCUCCUCGUCGCCGUCGGUAUCCCCUUCUCCUCUCUGCCCCGGCCGCCGAUCGGCCGCCGUCCAGCGCCACCGCCCGUCGAUCCCCUCCAGACCCGCCGCAGGAAUAUGCUAUGCCAGUCAAGCGGUUGAAUUGUUGCCGUCUUUGUACCCGGGGACAGGCGUCAUCGUUCGAGACGCAAAGCUGGAGGACUGUUGGGAAGUAGCAGAUACUCACUGCAGCUCAUUCUUUCCGGGUUACAAAUUCCCAUUAGACCUUGUUCUACGGCUCGAUCGUUACAUCGCCCUCCUAUCCGGCUUUUCAGUUCCGCCAGGCUGCACGAGAAGUUGCCUUGUUGCAGUUAACCCCUCUGCAGCUAACAGUGCUAUCAGUAUCGAAUGUGGAGAUUUGAGAGACGCCGAAUUUCAUGGGAAAUACAGUCUCAGUAAAGGCUCUAUAGCUGGCAUUCUUACGGUCGACACAGUAGCAGACUUUCUUCCAAGAAGGGGACGUCUCAAGCAGAGAAGAACAGGAAUUGCAUACAUAGCAAACGUCGCGGUUCGGAAGGAGGAGCGUCGAAAAGGAAUUGCUAAAAUGCUCGUCGCGGAAGCCGAGGCGCGAGCAAGGAGCUGGGGAUGCCGGUCAGUGGCCUUGCACUGCGAUGUAAGUAACCUCGCCGCGCUGCGACUGUACAAAAGCCAAGGUUACAAAACCAUCCGUGUACCAGAAGACGCCAAGUGGCCAGCACCCAAGAUAGAUCAAUCAGUGCGAUACGAGUUCAUGAUGAAGCUAGUGCCCAAGAGCUAA